AUAUGAACAAGUAUAAGGUUGCUGCAGUUUGACCUGAUUAGGAAAAACUGGUGUCCUCAUAUCCCUUAUAAAACCUUUUUACAACUGAAUAAUCACUGUCAUACCUUUAUAGGGUCCAGAGUUUUCCUGGUUAGGUUAACAGAUAAGGAAAAACURUGAGUCCCAGGGGGUAAAUUGAAUGUUUCCUCCAAGCACUUCAAAUCCUGUCCUGCACUGAAGUCAAGCCUCUGAACACCUCAACUCAUGCCUCAUACCCUCAUUCAAUCACUGCUGUGARCCCUUUCCAUAACUGUAUGGCCAUAACAGGGCCGGCUGUGGAUUCCAGAGUGGAUUCCUGUGUGUUGUGACCAAGAGAACAGAUGCCUUGGGUUCAGUGAAAACAAUUACAGGGUUGCUUACUGUACACACACACACCAGGCUGAGCCCACUGCAGGGAGAGGGGACCUGGCCUGCUCCCAGUGUUGUGUGUUUUCAGUCCCACUCCAGACUAAUUCCUCCACAUAGAAACACAGGGAUGUGUGUCUGUGUGCUUGAUGAGGUCACCCAGCAGACAGAGCCAGAGGGAAACUGAACAGGCAAACAUGACUGAACAGGACAGGAGGGAGGACCACUCUUUUGCAUCCCAAUCAGGCACCCUAUUCCCUUUAUAGUGCACUACUUUUGAACGGGCCCACACAUACACAUGCAAGCGUACACACCACACACCACACACACUCUCCAGUGAAAAUGACUAUUUAAAACACUAUCCUUACUGGGAUGUACAGUGUGAGUGUAUGUGUUGAACAGAUGUUUUUAUACACGUGCUGAUUUCCUCAACAAGUUGCAGCAUUGCCCUGUACUGCCCCGGGACAGCACGCACCCCUGCCUCCACGCAAAACAACUAGCAGGUACAAAGAAUGUACAAAUCAGAAUGGGUGGAACAGACAUUCCUUUUCAAAACAAUGUUAUGUACAGUGGGGCAAAAAAAGUAUUUAGUCAGCCACCAAUUGUGCAAGUUCUCC
Salvelinus sp. IW2-2015 is the source of this 1001-nucleotide long non-coding RNA. RefSeq lists it as uncharacterized. NCBI's taxonomy places the organism in Eukaryota, Metazoa, Chordata, Actinopteri, Salmoniformes, Salmonidae. The record is from RefSeq and is a predicted model, not a curated record.